GCAAAACAAAUUCCUGGAAAUUGGGAGAAAAUGAAGAGGAGAUGAACUCAGCUAAAGCAGGAACUCAACAAAAGCAAUAAAACCCAGUUUGAGAACCCAGAGAUAAUAUCACAAGAGUCCAGGAAUUAAUUGCAGAGAAACAACACCAGCAAUGCACCAAAAAAUGGAGUUGAAUGAUGCAAGCAGACUCGAAAUAGACGUCGGGGACCUCUGAACCAUUGAUUACCAAAAUCAAAAGGUAACUUAGGCCAUUUCUAUCCCUAGAUAAGCUAGAGGUUUUAGUUUAGAGCUUUUGGAACUCAAAAUCACUCUAAAGGUGAUAUGGAACAGUGAUUUUCUCCAGUUUUUAUUGUCUGAAGUUUUUCAGAAUUUUUUCAGUAUUAUUUUAUGCCUCUCCCACUUUCUAG
Molecule: long non-coding RNA, 407 nt
Filed under: Nicotiana benthamiana
Lineage: Eukaryota; Viridiplantae; Streptophyta; Magnoliopsida; Solanales; Solanaceae
Description: long non-coding RNA (NBEN_LNC026909)
Source: RNAcentral